This 96-nucleotide non-coding RNA is filed under the name uncultured Filifactor sp. Its description in RNAcentral is "THF riboswitch". It matches the Rfam family "THF (Tetrahydrofolate) riboswitch aptamer". Rfam says of the family: THF riboswitch presents a pseudoknot that joins P1-P2 and the loop of P3 and two THF binding. Lineage: Bacteria; Bacillati; Bacillota; Clostridia; Peptostreptococcales; Filifactoraceae. The record is from RNAcentral.
GCAGAGUAGGAAAAAGUGCUGUAAGUGUCGCAGAAUGGGAUGUUGUCUGCGAACGAAAAGAGAAAACUCUUGAGAUACUUUUUUCGCAUCCACUGU